This 243-nucleotide ribosomal RNA is filed under the name uncultured Acidovorax sp. RNAcentral's name for it is "partial 16S ribosomal RNA". It matches the Rfam family "Bacterial small subunit ribosomal RNA", at positions 1140 to 1382 of the family's 1533-position model. The record is from RNAcentral. Lineage: Bacteria; Pseudomonadati; Pseudomonadota; Betaproteobacteria; Burkholderiales; Comamonadaceae.
CUAAUGAGACUGCCGGUGACAAACCGGAGGAAAGGUGGGGAUGACGUCAAGUCCUCAUGGCCCUUAUAGUGGGGCUACACACGUCAUACAAUGGAUGGUACAAAGGGUCGCCAACCCGCGAGGGGGAGCCAAUCCCAUAAAGCCAUUCGUAGUCCGGAUCGCAGUCUGCAACUCGACUGCGUGAAGUCGGAAUCGCUAGUAAUCGUGGAUCAGAAUGUCACGGUGAAUACGUUCCCGGGUCUU